This 467-nucleotide ribosomal RNA is filed under the name uncultured bacterium. RNAcentral describes it as "bacterial SSU rRNA". It matches the Rfam family "Bacterial small subunit ribosomal RNA", at positions 355 to 825 of the family's 1533-position model. The record is from RNAcentral.
UCGGGAAUUUUGGUCAAUGGAGGCAACUCUGAACCAGCCAUGCCGCGUGCAGGAAGAAGGCCCUAUGGGUCGUAAACUGCUUUUGAACAAGAGAAAACCCCGGUACGUGUACUGGGUUGAUAGUAUUGUUAGAAUAAGCAUCGGCUAACUUCGUGCCAGCAGCCGCGGUAAGACGAAGGAUGCAAGCGUUAUCCGGAUUCAUUGGGUUUAAAGGGUGCGUAGGCGGACUGAUAAGUCAGUGGUGAAAUCUCUCGGCUUAACCGAGAAACUGCCAUUGAUACUGUUAGUCUAGAGUACAGAUGAUGUGGGCGGAAUAUGACAUGUAGUGGUGAAAUACUUAGAUAUGUCAUAGAACACCGAUUGCGAAGGCAGCUCACAAAACUGUAACUGACGCUGAGGCACGAAAGUGCGGGGAUCAAACAGGAUUAGAUACCCACGUAGUCCCUGAGCGGGCUGGCAAGGCGCAU